RNAcentral lists this transfer RNA (105 nucleotides) under Pseudomonas aeruginosa. Its description in RNAcentral is "tRNA-OTHER". Lineage: Bacteria; Pseudomonadati; Pseudomonadota; Gammaproteobacteria; Pseudomonadales; Pseudomonadaceae. The record is from RNAcentral.
GCGGCCGGCGUAAACUGUUGUAAUAUAAGCGCUUCUGAGGUGCGAGACAGGAUUUAGGUUCCAGCGCCGCAAGGCGUGAGAGUUCGAGUCUCUCCGUCCGCACCA